RNAcentral lists this ribosomal RNA (468 nucleotides) under uncultured bacterium. RNAcentral's name for it is "partial 16S ribosomal RNA". It matches the Rfam family "Bacterial small subunit ribosomal RNA", at positions 28 to 507 of the family's 1533-position model. The record is from RNAcentral.
GACGAACGCUGGCGGCGUGCUUAACACAUGCAAGUCGAACGGAAAGGCCCUGCUUUUGUGGGGUGCUCGAGUGGCGAACGGGUGAGUAACACGUGAGUAACCUGCCCUUGACUUUGGGAUAACUUCAGGAAACUGGGGCUAAUACCGGAUAGGAGCUCCUGCUGCAUGGUGGGGGUUGGAAAGUUUCGGCGGUUGGGGAUGGACUCGCGGCUUAUCAGCUUGUUGGUGGGGUAGUGGCUUACCAAGGCUUUGACGGGUAGCCGGCCUGAGAGGGUGACCGGCCACAUUGGGACUGAGAUACGGCCCAGACUCCUACGGGAGGCAGCAGUGGAGAAUAUUGCACAAUGGGCGGAAGCCUGAGGCAGCAACGCCGCGUGCGGGAUGACGGCCUUCGGGUUGUAAACCGCUUUCGCCUGUGACGAAGCGUGAGUGACGGUAAUGGGUAAAGAAGCACCGGCUAACUACGUG